This 499-nucleotide ribosomal RNA is filed under the name uncultured bacterium. RNAcentral's name for it is "bacterial SSU rRNA". It matches the Rfam family "Bacterial small subunit ribosomal RNA", at positions 28 to 534 of the family's 1533-position model. The record is from RNAcentral.
GACGAACGCUGGCGGCGUGCCUAACACAUGCAAGUCGAACGGGGGUAUUUAUUUCGAUGAAUACCUUAGUGGCGAACGGGUGAGUAACGCGUGAGCAACCUAUCCUUAAGAGGGGGAUAACAUCUGGAAACAGAUGCUAAUACCGCAUAAGACCACACUGCCGCAUGGCAGAGGGGUCAAAGGAGCAAUCCGUUUAAGGAGGGGCUCGCGUCCCAUUAGAUAGUUGGUGAGGUAACAGCUCACCAAGUCAGCGAUGGGUAGCCGAGCUGAGAGGCUGAUCGGCCACACUGGAACUGAGACACGGUCCAGACUCCUACGGGAGGCAGCAGUGGGGAAUAUUGGGCAAUGGGGGGAACCCUGACCCAGCAACGCCGCGUGAGGGAAGAAGGCCUGGUUGUAACGUACUGUCAUUAGGAGAAGAAAGUAGAGGUACCUAAUAGAGGAAGCCCCGGGCCUAACCGUACGUAGCCACGCAGCCGCGGUAAACCGGUAAGACGUG